RNAcentral lists this ribosomal RNA (247 nucleotides) under uncultured bacterium. Its description in RNAcentral is "partial 16S ribosomal RNA". It matches the Rfam family "Bacterial small subunit ribosomal RNA", at positions 524 to 770 of the family's 1533-position model. The record is from RNAcentral.
UACGUAGGGUGCGAGCGUUAAUCGGAAUUACUGGGCGUAAAGUGUGCGCAGGCGGCAGAGCAAGUCGAGUGUGAAAGCCCCGGGCUUAACCUGGGAACUGCAUUUGUGACUGCAAGGCUAGAGUACGGUAGAGGGGGAUGGAAUUCGCGUGUAGCAGUGAAAUGCGUAGAUAUGCGGAGGAACACCGAUGGCGAAGGCAAUCCCCUGGACCUGUACUGACGCUCAUGCACGAAAGCGUGGGGGAGCA